UUCAGUGGUAGAAUUCUCGCCUG
Molecule: non-coding RNA, 23 nt
Filed under: Gallus gallus (chicken)
Lineage: Eukaryota; Metazoa; Chordata; Aves; Galliformes; Phasianidae
Also listed under: 2 other names
Source: RNAcentral